UAUAUAUACACACAGACCCACACCUACCUACACACUCCAACACCUACCUCCUAGAUAGCACACAGUAAAUGCCCACAAACGUUUUUAAGUGAAUACCUGAAAAGCUGAAUUUACGAUCAAACGUCAACCCUUUGCUGCCUACAUGUGCCAAACUGAUAGCACCAUGCACUUAAAAAUGAAAACAUAUCUGGAAGCUUGGGAUGGGGAAGCGAGGACCAAGGGCCUAUCAUGUGGCGGGCCCCUUACAACCUAUUGUUCGUAUGUGGAAACUGAGGCUCAGAGAGAUAAGUCACAUAACUAGCGUUAAGAUAAAUUUCUAGGCCCAAGUUGGAUCUGCUCCUGACCAGGGCGUACCAUCAACAAAUCAAAAUUCAGAUCACUUUCAUGUCCCUGUAAGUGAUCCUCUUGACCAGAAAUACGUGAGUUGGCUAGUCCCCCAAAGCAAAGCCAACUCAGGCUCUGUACUUACUUCCUUGUUCCUUCUCAUUCCAAUCAAGGUUGCCUAAGUAGCCCCAGCCAAUCAGAUUAUUUUCCGUUUUUCUCUUCCCUGUUCUUUAUUAUUGAUUUUAUAAAUGCUUCCUGCCUUCUCUGUUUUGCCGUUCUUGAAUGGGGACUAUCGGUUCCAUGAAGUGUUAAAUAGCUUAUUCAUAUCACUUAAAUUCUGUUCUCUCUCUCUCUCUCUUUCUUUUGAUUUUAGACAGAGAAUCACCCUCAGUGUGGAGCCCCACAUGGGGCCGCAUCCCACGACCAUGAGAUCAGGACCUGAGCCAAAAUCAAGAGUCGGAUGUUUAACUGACCGAGGCACCCAGGCUCUUAACCUAGGGAGCCUCGGACACCCACAGACAGCACACGGAAAGCGUUUAUGAGGUGCGGAUCCAUAUUUUUCAUCAGAUUCUCAAGGUGGGCCAUGGCCUCCAGAAGGCUAAGGUGUGGGCCUGGGGGGAGCCUGCAGUGGCUGGGCUGGUGCAACGGUCAUGAAGGAGCAGCCAGAGCAGAACUGAGGGAGGAUGCGUGUUGCCCACUCACCCAGUUUCAACACCGCUCCGAACCGAUGUCCCAACCCCACGGGGGUUACCAGUGUCCUGUUCCCAGAGACAUCGGGUGACAAAUGAUCUGGUCCGAGUCCCAUACGCUCCUUGUGGUAUUUUUAGACACAUUCUGUUCACUGAGAGAAACUUCAAAUACUGCUGGGUAUCAUGGGCCCACGACAUGACUGUUCCUUGGGUGGGGUGGAAGGGUGAGAGAGACCCCAGGGACAGGGGCUGGGCUCCCCCGGGCACUCAAGCACAUGAUGAGGGAGCGGCAUUGUGACCUCAGAGGAGAGGGAAGCCAGUGAGCUCAGGUUCUAGGAAUGGACUAGAAACAACCCCUGAUGAAUCACAUACUCAGUCCAAUUUUCCUGUAGACUUCUAGCCACAGGCCUUCCUGAGAAUAAGUAGAAUGGAGAUUCGAGACACUUUUUAUUUAUGUCACAAGGAUGAGCAGAGUACUCACUGCUACCACCGGGCACGGUGAGGGGGAGUCUCACGCAGACGUGGAGUGUGAAGACGGCACCUCCUUCCUGCGUGUGCAUUACACGAACAAGUAAUCACAAUGAAUGUGACAAGUUCUGUGCCAGAACCAUCAGACAGAGCUGUGGGACCACCUCCGGAGGAAAGAGCAGUUACACCUUGGAGAAGGAGAAGCAGUGCUAUUGGUGGUGACAUACCGGUUCAAUGGAAUAAACAUGUAUCGAGUCCCAGGCAUUGUCUUGGGAUGAGGGGAGGAGAUGUCUAGACACACAACGUCUGCUGUCAGGGAGCUCAAAGCCAGGCCCACAGACCUAGAAGCACGGGAAUGUCAACCUAUCACAAACAGGCAGUGCAACUUAAAUGGCAGGCUAGCACGACUCUGGGGAUAACAAGAUUUUAAUCUCUCUGGCAUCAGGAUGUACAGUAGACUUUUUGCAAUAUGGCCACUGUCGUUCCUCUCCUUGAAUCCAUGUCCUUGGGUAAUCCUUUCCCGCAUGGAUACUUGACUUAGUCAUGUGACUUGCUUCAGCCAAUGGAAUAGCGGCAAACACAAAGCAAGCCAAAGUUUGAAAAGCAAUUGUACACUGGGGCUUAUCCCCUUCGCAGAGCUUGGAGCCCUGAGGCCACCAUUUUAGGACGGAUGAACUGCUUACUGGAGUGGACAUGUAGAAGAGAACCAAGGGACCCCAGCAAAUAUCCUGACAUCCAAGUGAGUGAGGCCAUUCCUGAGCCAUCCAGCCCAUAUAUCCACCAGCUGACUGGCUGCAAGAGAGAGCUCAGGAGAGACCAGCAGGGGAACUGCCUGGUUGAACCAGCCCAAGUGCCAAGCCACAAAAUCAUGAGCUAAUAAAUGAUGGUUUUUUUAAGCCGCUAAAUUUUACAGUGAUUUGCUAUGCAGUAAAAGCUAAGCAGUACACAGUACAUCUUCCAGCUGAUGAUGUCAUAAUUAUAAUGGGAAGCAUUUUUUUUUCUUUCUCAGGGAUACAUAAAAUAAUGGUGCAUCUUACAAUUGAUUGUGACUUAGAUCAGAUGCAAUACAGUAUUAUAUGCACUUGGCAGGUAAGAAAGCUAGGGAUCAGAAGGUUUCUUGCCCGAGGUCUGGAACCAGUAAGUUGUGGAAUUUGAAUCCAUGCUGUCCGACUCCAGGCCUUUGCUCUUACCCUGCAAGCACUUCCAUCCACCUGGAUGGGGGAGUGUCUGGAGAGCUGGUUGGUAGGAAAGCAGAGACAGGUUAUGAAGGGCAUCUUAGAAGUUCUUGUAAAGAGUUUGAUUUUGACAACGAAGAGCUAGUUGAAUUGGAAGAUUGGAGUACUUAUAAUUUAUUUGACAUUGACUGAAUACAAUAUUCAUACCACCUCAAGAAACAGAAAGUCGUGUUGUGGGGCUGCAGGGUAGAGUCUGGAAGGCCUGGAGUUGUCCAACAACUCACCCAGUGGGAAGAGGGGUGUACCCAUGGAAGUUACUGCCUACACAGCUGUGGACUAACUCUCCCUUGUAAAGUUAAUGAAGUCAGUGGAUCAAGUGCACUUGAACAAUAAAAGGGGUGGGGAGAAGGGAGGACUAUGGCUUAAUUAGGGCCACUGGAGACCAUGUGAUAAUCAGUAGUUACAGAGCAACAUCUGUUUGGUGGAAAUAUCUCAGAUUUCCCAGCAAAUCUGAGAUUAAUGGCAUACAGUGCCUGCUCUCUAGGUACUUACAUCUCCUGGGGGAAAUGGAUAUACGCCUAAUGUAGAUGUAACCUCAAAAUAGACUGAGUGACAAGCACCCAGCCACUGAUGCCAACCCCUUCUUUAACCAUCCACUUACCAAGGUCUGGAAUUUAAAGCCCAUUGGCCACUAAUAACUGAUGUGGCUACACUUCAGAUGACCAUGCUCAAAAGCAGUAGAUAUAGAAGAUCAAUAAUUGUCACAACUCUGCAGUUGGCAAUCACAAGUGGGAGAUUUUGAGACAAGGUCAUUGUCAACCUGUCCCUCAGCAUGUCCCAAAAAAGACUUUGACUCUCUUUAGCUUUUCUGGAAGGUUGACCAAUCAAUUUUAGAGAGCUAUAGAUUUGGAUCUAGCCAGAAUUAGCCACAGAAGUUUAAUCGAGCCAAAAUGGGGCCAAGAAUAAGAAGAGAGACUCAAACUUCUAUUAGGAAUUUUGUUCCACUGCAACAUCCCAUUUGGAUCCUGUUCGGUUGGCUACAGAAGUGUUUGGGAAAAAAGAAGGUGGAAAAGAGGCUUAAGACUGGAUUUCUACCGGGGCACCUGGGUGGCUCAGUCGGUUGAGUGUCCGACUUCAGCUCAGGUCACCAUCUUGCUGUCUGUGAGUUCAAGCCCUGCGUCGGGCUCUGUGCUGACAGCUGAGAGCCUGGAGCCUU
This is a long non-coding RNA of Felis catus (domestic cat), 3872 nucleotides long. RefSeq lists it as uncharacterized. The record is from RefSeq and is a predicted model, not a curated record. The transcript is spliced from 3 exons. Lineage: Eukaryota; Metazoa; Chordata; Mammalia; Carnivora; Felidae.